Psammomys obesus (fat sand rat) is the source of this 7094-nucleotide long non-coding RNA. RefSeq lists it as uncharacterized. NCBI's taxonomy places the organism in Eukaryota, Metazoa, Chordata, Mammalia, Rodentia, Muridae. The record is from RefSeq and is a predicted model, not a curated record. The transcript is spliced from 3 exons.
CGGGCUGUGUCUCCACAGGCACCACGGGGACUGUGCUUGCUGGUCAGCCUGAGAGGGACAGAGGUCCCUGUCUCAAGGGUCCCUUUCUCAUUUCUCUACUCACUGUCCUCAGUCUUUCCUCUUCUUCUUUUACUUCCUUCUCUUCUUCCUCACUCCUUUCCCUCCUUCCUCCUCCCUCCUCCUCUCCCCUCCCUUUUCCCAUCUUUUUCCCCUUCUUUCUCUCCCUGUGUGUCUCUGUGUCUGUCUCUCUCCCCUUUCUUCUUCCUCUUUCCCCUCUGCUCCAGUUAAUUAUUACCUCAGGAGAACACAGAAAUCUCAAGUCCAAAGUGCUGCUAGCCCCGCUACCAUCUGCAGCACCUACUUAGAAUUCCACAGCCCCCAGCCAAGGCUCCAGCUCCAUACAGACUGAGGCCUCUCAGGAACCAAAGGCUUAUGACUCAGAGGUAACAGAACCACAUAUUUAGUGCACGGCAGGCUAACACGCCAUGCUCACUCUUGGAACUCAAACAGGCCUGGCUCUAUCACUCACCAGUAUGAAUGUCCACCUGCUGAUACAACUGAGGGGUGGUGCCCCCAGACACGUGGGUGGAGCCUGAAGUCCAGUGUGACUGUCUGUCAGGACUGAACCCUCGUAGCUAAGCUUGCCAACUUCAUUGGAUUCAGAACUACCAUGAAAACACAUCUCUUGGUACGUCUAUGAGGGAUGCUUCCAGAAAGAGUCAACUGAAGAGCAGAGGUCUGCUCUGCAUGUGGGCGCUCAUCUCAUGGGCUGGGACCCACAUGGAAUAAAAACAUCAGCAGUCACCUCCCUCUGCUCUCCGAGUGGGACACUUGCCAAGCGCCUCACGCUCCUGUCGCUGUGCCUGAAAGCUCUGAGCCCAAAGAAACUCCAUCCUUUAAGUUGCUUUCCUCAGCUGUUCUGUCACAGCGAUGAGAGCAGCCACCAAUACAAGCCUUCAAGGAGACAGUUACAGGUUGAGCAGGGCCUAAUCUAAUAUAACCAUGUCUACCCCUAGAAGAAGAGAGAUGCAGGGUAUGUGGUCAAGUGGAAGGCCACACAGAGUGAAAGACGCCAUCUCUAAGACAGACAGACACACACACACACACACACACACACACACACACACACACACAGAUACAGAGAGAGAGAGAGAGGCUGUGGGCUUCCAGUCUCUAAAACAGAACAGUAAGACAAUGACUCUCUUGUCUGUUAAAGCAGCUCUGGCCAGCAAAUACACUCUCCAAAUCAACAGCCUCUAUUUCUCCAUUGUGAAAUGCCCACUGGACCAACUCAUGGGGUCCUGACAAAGAAAAGUGAAACCUCACAGGUGACACGGGCCUGCCUGGCACGUCCUGAAACAUCGUCUGGUACUCCAGGUGUCCACCGAGAACCGAGGAACCUCUCUGGAAGGCCAAGGAGCUGGUGGUGCUUUGGGCAGCCUGGAGAGAGCGUCUGCUGACUCUUCGGGGUGAGGACCACAUUCCCGUCCUCUUUGUAUUCAGGACUCAGAAAGGGAGAGAUCACGGCCAGGAAACCAAAGAUGGACAGAUUCUGGCCCUUAAUUGUUACCUUCUCUUUUAGUUACUUUUCUCACCACCAUGACAAAACACCUGUCUAAAGAAGCUAGCUCAAGGGAAGAAGGGCUUAUUUUGGCUCACAGUUCGAGUGUGCAGUCCGUCACACUGGAGGAGGGCACGGUGGCAGGAGCUCUUGGCUGCUGGUUACACGCCAGGAAGCAGAGCUGUGUGCUCAUGUUAGCUGCUUGCUCCCUUUUAUGGAGUCUCAUGGUGCUGCUGCCUUGCUUUUAUGUCAUUCUGUGAGAUGGUAUCGCCCAGAUUUAGGUGGGCACAUGUCCCAACUAACCAAGUCUAGAAGUUCCAGAUGCUUGUCUCCUGGGCAAUUCUCUGUCAGGUCGGUGGUGUUAACCAUCACCCUAUGGGAAGGUCAGGGAGCAUCCCCUGCCCCGCCCCGAUCUGUCCCUGUGCUCUCUGCACCACUGUCACAAGCAUCAGGCCACAGACCAGAGCGUUUACUGCGUGGGAAGCCCAUAUGAUUAGGCCAAGCCCAAACACCCAGAGAGCUAAAACCAACAAAGGCAAGGAGCAAGGGCCCCUGAGUGAAGACCCCAUCCAUGCAGUAGAUUCGCCUGCUCACAGUGCUCAGAAAACUCACCAACUUUGGAGGCACACUUAGCCCCACUCAUUUUGGUAACAGCCUGUUGCACGGAUCAUGGUAAGAGCUGUCUGGGUGUCUUCUCAGGAACUUUCAAAGCCCCGUUAGACACUGAAGAGACUGGAGGGAUAAAUAACUGAAGACUGACUAGUCUGUCUUUAUAUCACUCUGUGCCCUUUGGUGUCUCAGCCUCCAUCAGGUUCCACUCUGUCCCGUGCACAGAUCUACCCAACUUUUGAGAAACAUUUUGACUGAGGCUAUAACUUAGGGCUCGCCAAACUCAAGACGUUUGUGCAUCCGAGGGGAAGACUGCUUAAAAUCACGUGCAUCGAUUAAGCAUUGUUCAUUGAUGAGGAAAUGGCAGGCGCCUCCUCCUCCCCCGAGCGGAUGAAGGCUUGCCGUGUCCUGCGUUGGCAGUCUGGUUACCUCUGCUCAGCGCUGAGGUCCCAAGGAAGAUGCUUUGCCUUUGCUGAUCAUGUGUGUGACUUGGCUUUAUUCCCAUUGUUCCUGUGUCACAGUCCUGCCGCCUGCUGUCUGGGUGGCCUCGGUGUCAGGCUCCAUCCUGAGUGGGGCAUGACUUUUAGGACCAGGGUUUUAAGCAGUGGGCAUGCUCGCUCUUGCAGCUUUUCCUUUGUUAUGGUAUGGUGUAUGUGUUUGUGGGGGUUCGGUGAAGAGGGGAAGGAAGCUGUGUCCUGGACAGUGUGGGGCCUGCGUUCUGUCUAGGAGUAAGAAAGAGCAGGGCUGUGAUUGGCCAUUACACUUUUUGCCUCUGCUAUCGAGUCUACCUCUAAUUUUACAGCCAGGAAUAUACACUGCCUCUAAGAAGACAGAAGCGAUGUCAUUCAGGGGAGCAGCUAAGAGAAAGGCUGAAGGGAGGUAGGAAGGCCAAGACAGAACGCACGCGUUUGUGUGUGCAAGAGUUAGCGUGGGUUAACUGAACUCACUAACUGGUUAGUGGUGGCGAAAGUGCAGAUGCAAGCGACAUUCUAGUGACUUGAGAAGAACGUGGGAGAGCCCGGCCUCUCUAGGAGCGGGAGAAGGUGGUCCUGGUGCUCCUUUCCCCGAGGCCACAGGCCCCGGUCGCCGUGUGCACCAUCACGGGGUAAAGGGCGGAAACAGUGCGGAGGUGAAAGAAACGCCCGAGAGGGCAACCCUGGGAGCAUGAAGAGGCUGACGCGGAGCCCGGUGCCCGGAGGAAGGACAACACCAGCCAGGAGAGGACAGCGGGGGUGGCUAGGCGAAGGCGCCAGGGACGGCUCCUUACUGUGCCGGUGACCUCGCCGGAGCCAUGUCCGGGGAGAAGGGGCUAUUCUGGCUGUGAGGUGUGAGCAGGGCCGACAUGUAGGUGUGUUCAGAGGAACUGCAGAAGGAAAUGCCAUCGGUGGCAUUUGACAGUACUCCCACAGUGUGGCGUUGAGGGGCGAUUUGAAUGAGGUUCUGGACCACUCCAGGCCGCGUGGUAGUGCGCGCUGCAGCUGCACCGGGAACGUUGCUCCUACGUCGUCACAGCCCAUGCACAGACAGUGUCUUUUGGGCUGUGGUCUGCAGGAGGACAGCCCCCAGGCUCGUGUGUUUGAACACUCAGUGCCCAGGGUGAUGAGGCCCUCGCCGCCUUGCUUCGGGAAGCACAGAACGCGGCACGGGCUGAGUUUGAGGCUGCGUGGUCUGCCCUACCCCUGGCUGAAGCGUGAUCUCUCUGCUUCUUGACUGCCUGCCUCCAGCUCCCGCUGCUGAGGAGCAGGUCCUGUAGGAACGUGCUUCGUCUGUGAUUGACUGACUGGGCUUGAAGGAGGAGGACACGUGGGCCCGUUAGUCUGGAGGGGCUCUCACAGUGAGUGUCGGGUAGACAACAGGGGCGCUGUCCCCACCCGGUUGGCCCAGUUUCAGCAGCUCAGUGUCCUCUGUGCACGAACACGUGGCCCGUGUUGAGCACGGCUCGCCAGAUAAGAAGACAGAUGUAACCCACAGAGUGAGCUCCAACCAGCGCUCUGCAGGCCGUUAGUAGCUGGGAGGUGUGAGGGGCGCCUUCAGCUGAAAACCAAGAACCAGCCCACAUGGAAAUGGGCCCGAGAAGCCGCACAACCGGCCAGUAAGCCCGGACUGCAUUCAGCAGAGCUGGACAUUAGAAAAAUGCCAAUCGAAACCACAAUCAUACACACUGCAAAGGCUGUUAUGAAAAGGAGGACAGAGGAAGAUUACAGGUAUUGGUGAGAAGUGGAGAGACAGGAGCCUGGAUUCAUUGCUGAUAGGGGUGGAAGUCCCCACAGCUGCCAUAGGACACAGCAGUCAGUUGCUCAAAAGUUAAAUAUCACGCAGUUGGAGAGAUCACUUCACAGAGGACCUGGGUUCAAUUCCUAGUACCUCCAUAGCAGCUCACAACCAUCAGUGACUCCAGUCCUAGGGAACCCUGAUGCUUUCUUCUGGCCUUCUCAAGGGCCAGACAUAUAUAUAGCCCACACACAGACAUAUAGGCAACCCCUUAAAAGUUAAAUAAAAAAGCGCCAGGCAGAGCCCCUGGUCCAGCAACCAUGCUUUGGGAUCGAAACUCAACAGAAUGGGAAGCAAGGGCUCAGAUGGCUAUUGUGUGAGCCUUCCCAGCAGCCGUCUUCACAGAGACUAAGGCGGAAAUAACCGUCUCCUGUCAGUUCUGGAAUGGAUGAGCAGAAAGAGAAAGAGGGAAUUCACUCUCAGAAGAAGGCAAUUCUUCCAUAGCUACACUGUGAAUGACCUUGACGACACCAUUCUGAGUGACAGAAGACAGCUGCCAAAUCAUAAUAAUGUGACCGCAUGUCUGUGAGGAAAUAUGGAGAGACAGAGGGUAGGAAAGUACAUAGCAGGGACUGGAAUUGUUUGUUUGGGAUGAUAAGAAGCUUCAGGAAAGGCCAGCAAGGGUGAUUCCAGAAUGUGACACUUCACUCAGUGCCCCAGAAGUGUGUUUACGAUGGCUAAAGUGUUAAAUUUGACAGUGAGUAUUUUUAUCACAAUAUGACUCUGUAAAUGGUCCCUGUGCUAUGGAGAGCCCCUGGAGCGCCCAAAGAUACAGCUCCCCUCAGCUGUUUUGCUGCAGCCCUUUACCCCCAAAUAAAACAGUAAAUGUCAGAAACCGCAGAAGACCGUAGUUAGACGGAAAGAGGUCAAAGUGCAGUGUUUGCCCUUCCUCUUCCCUUCUUCCCCCUCCUUUCCUUUGCUUCUUCCUUUCUUCCCUCUUUACUUCCUCCUACCCUCUUUCCUUUUUUCCCUCCCUCUUUUCCUGUUCCUUCUUCCUCUAUUUUCUAUAAACCUUGCAAAAUGUAAAACCAUAGGAACUGUCAAGCCCUGGAUUACAGAUGCUGGAAGACAUGAAGGAAGGAAGAAGCUGCCAGUGAGAAGAGGUGGCCGUGAUCUGGGGCUGAAGAAAAGGUAUAAGCAGCAGAACUUGGGGACCACUGAGUGUGUGUUGAGGGGGGUCAUUACAGACAUGGGAGAGGUGGGGCUGGUUCAGUUUGGCACAUCUGAAGACAUCCUGGUGCCCUGUCUGGAGAGGACACAGGGUGAAGGCAGGCCCUAGAUCCAGGAGUUAUCCCCUAGUGUGAGUAGAGAGCUGUGAUUACUGGUGUGGAUGCUUCGCUGUGGGGAAGGGUCUGCCCAAGUGAGCAGAGGAUGAAUUAGAGAUCGGAGAGUGAGAAGAACAGCAAGACACAGAACCUGGAAAACAACACUAAGACGCCAGAGGCCAGGGAGAAGCCAGAGAGAGGGCCGAGCAGCGGCCGGGGCAUGCUAGAGGUGGAAGGGCCAUGCAGGAAGCCGGAUGGGUAAAAAGGCCAGGACCAUCUUCAGGGCUUUCAUCCGCACAUGCCGGGGACAGUGGUGGCCCACUUGGACUGAGCAGAGACUCUCCCUUCUUUAAAUGUCACAGAAAAUUCUAGACAGAUCAAGGAUUUGAAUGCAAAAUAUAAAACUACAGCAGUAAGUGAGGAAGAUGCUAUUUUUAAAAGUAGCACUAAGAGUUGAGAAGGCCCCUUUUAAAUCCACAUUAGGAAUCUAGGAGAUACACUAAAAGACCGAUAUUUUUGACAACAUAAAAAUUUAAAUGUCUAUUAAAAAAUAUAAGAGGGCAAAUCAGAAAAAAAUAUCCUCAAAACACAGCCUGCAUGCCCCCACUUUCGAGAGCACAGACAAUUGGCUAUAACAGUGGCAACAGAGAGCCGGUACUGUGUUUCUCAGAGAAGAAAAUACUGAGCCAGAAAGCUCAGGCAUCCUGGUCAACGACAGCGAAGCAAAAGCAAUGCAAAUAAAACUACUUAAAAACCCUGAGGAAGCCAAGAUUAACAAUAGAGACAUGCUAACCCACUUGUCCUUCAAUAGCCCUUACCAAACACCGUCGCAGAUGACAUCCACGGACUAGUAUGUGGUUGUAACUCAAGGCGAUGCCAAUGAUCAUCUUUCCAAGGUGGCUGGCUUUGGGGUCAUGACCUCUGCCUCCCAGAACUCUGUCACCACUCCUUCAUCUUGCUUUUCCAUGGUUCUCAUCCCGCAUGGGACACAUGACCCUCUGGCCCUGGCAAGAGGACCUCGUCCACACAGCAGGCCCUAGUCCGAUGCCUGAACAAGGAGGCGUGUGGCCAACGGUCCACACCACAGUGAUGAGGGAAGGCAAACUCAGAAGCAUGCGCCCCCUGCACAUGUUGCCUUCUUACGAUAGCAUGUGCGUGUCUGUGGAUGUGUGUUGUAUGCACAUAGAAAACGUUCUCCAGACUAUGAACUUUGAUCCAUUUCUGAGCUGCAAGUUUGUGUGGGUGUUGUUACUUUUCUUUCAAUUUUUCUAUAUUUAAAUCUUCCCCUUAAUAUGUUUCUUUCACUUAAAAAUAUCAGUGGGAAGCAUCAUGUUUUUUCUUUCUUUCUGAUUUUACCAUCCCAAAUACGUGUGUAUAAGACAUCAAGA